AGUUCGGAUCGGAGUCUGNAACCCGACNCCGUGAAGCUGGAUUCGCUAGUAAUCGCGCAUCAGCCAUGGCGCGGUGAAUACGUUCCCGGGCCUUGUACACACCGCCUGUCAAGCCAUGGAAGCCGGGGGUGCCUGAAGUGUGCAGCCGCAAGGAGCGCCCUAAGGUAAAACCGGUGACUGGGGCUAAGUCGUAACAAGGUAGC
RNAcentral lists this ribosomal RNA (203 nucleotides) under uncultured bacterium. RNAcentral's name for it is "partial 16S ribosomal RNA". It matches the Rfam family "Bacterial small subunit ribosomal RNA", at positions 1290 to 1500 of the family's 1533-position model. The record is from RNAcentral.